AAUGGAUUAAGAGCUUGCUCUUAUGAAGUUAGCGGCGGACGGGUGAGUAACACGUGGGUAACCUGCCCAUAAGACUGGGAUAACUCCGGGAAACCGGGGCUAAUACCGGAUAACAUUUUGAACUGCAUGGUUCGAAAUUGAAAGGCGGCUUCGGCUGUCACUUAUGGAUGGACCCGCGUCGCAUUAGCUAGUUGGUGAGGUAACGGCUCACCAAGGCAACGAUGCGUAGCCGACCUGAGAGGGUGAUCGGCCACACUGGGACUGAGACACGGCCCAG
RNAcentral lists this ribosomal RNA (277 nucleotides) under Bacillus thuringiensis. RNAcentral describes it as "partial 16S ribosomal RNA". It matches the Rfam family "Bacterial small subunit ribosomal RNA", at positions 69 to 334 of the family's 1533-position model. The record is from RNAcentral. Lineage: Bacteria; Bacillati; Bacillota; Bacilli; Caryophanales; Bacillaceae.